This 332-nucleotide ribosomal RNA is filed under the name uncultured eukaryote. RNAcentral's name for it is "partial 18S ribosomal RNA". It matches the Rfam family "Eukaryotic small subunit ribosomal RNA", at positions 1470 to 1796 of the family's 1831-position model. The record is from RNAcentral.
CCCUUAGAUGUUCUGGGCUGCACGCGCGCUACACUGUCGGAUUCAGCGAGUCAUAUCCUUAACCGAAAGGUUUGGGUAAUCUUUUGAAAGUCCGACGUGACGGGGAUUGAUCAUUGCAAUUAUUGAUCAUGAACGAGGAAUUCCUAGUAAGCGCGAGUCAUCAGCUCGCGUUGAUUACGUCCCUGCCCUUUGUACACACCGCCCGUCGCUACUACCGAUUGAAUGGUUUAGUGAGAUCUUCGGAUUGGCGCCUACGCGGCUUCUCUGAGGCCACGCUGGAUGCCGAAAAGUUGCUCAAACUGUAUCAUUUAGAGGAAGUAAAAGUCGUAACA